AAGUCGAGGGGUAUAGUUCUUCGGAACUAGAGACCGGCGCACGGGUGCGUAACGCGUAUGCAAUCUACCUUUUACAGAGGGAUAGCCCAGAGAAAUUUGGAUUAAUACCUCAUAGUAUGUGAGAAUGGCAUCAUUUUCACAUUAAAGUCACAACGGUAAAAGAUGAGCAUGCGUCCCAUUAGCUAGUUGGUAAGGUAACGGCUUACCAAGGCUACGAUGGGUAGGGGUCCUGAGAGGGAGAUCCCCCACACUGGUACUGAGACACGGACCAGACUCCUACGGGAGGCAGCAGUGAGGAAUAUUGGACAAUGGGCGCAAGCCUGAUCCAGCCAUGCCGCGUGCAGGAUGACGGUCCUAUGGAUUGUAAACUGCUUUUGCACAGGAAGAAACAACGCUACGUGUAGCGUCUUGACGGUACUGUGAGAAUAAGGAUCGGCUAACUCCGUGCCAGCAGCCGCGGUAAUACGGAGGAUCCAAGCGUUAUCCGGAAUCAUUGGGUUUAAAGGGUCCGUAGGCGGUUUAGUAAGUCAGUGGUGAAAGCCCAUCGCUCAACGGUGGAACGGCCAUUGGUACUGCUAGACUUGAAUUAUUAGGAAGUAACUAGAAUAUGUAGUGUAGCGGUGAAAUGCUUAGAGAUUACAUGGAAUACCAAUUGCGAAGGCAGGUUACUACUAAUGGAUUGACGCUGAUGGACGAAAGC
Molecule: ribosomal RNA, 700 nt
Filed under: uncultured Flavobacterium sp.
Lineage: Bacteria; Pseudomonadati; Bacteroidota; Flavobacteriia; Flavobacteriales; Flavobacteriaceae
Description: bacterial SSU rRNA
Rfam family: Bacterial small subunit ribosomal RNA
Source: RNAcentral